GCUUGAACCUGGGAGGCAGAGGCUGCAGUGAGCUGAGAUUGCACCACUGCAUUCCAGCCUGGGCAACAGAGCGAGACUGCAUCUCAAAAAAUAAAUAAUAAAUAAAUAAAUAAACAAAAUAAAAUAAAAUAAAGACAAUGAUCCAAAGCAAAGCAUGCCACCUCAUGAGCAUGUGCUAAUCCUUGGGUGGGAAUACGGCUUUUGUUACGUUGCCCUUUGUAGCUUUCUCUUUUGUGUUUCAGAGCUAGAUAUUCACACUAUACAGAGAUCCCCCUGAAACUCCAUAGCAGAUUCUAGAAUACAUGGAGGCUUUGGGAAAGACAGUGGAAAGCCAAGGAAGCCAGAGAGCUCCAGGCACACACAGCACAAGAGGGAGGCGGACCACCAGAUCAUGAGGUCUCCACCGGUGCCUCAGCAGCCAAGCACUGCCUGGCCUGAAAGGAAUGUGCUCUAUGCCCUCACUUCCACCAGCUCCAGGCUCCCUCCCCAAAUAAUCAAAAGUCAGGCUCUGCUCUGCCUCCUUUUCCAGAUGUCUCUGUGGAUGAAAUGCAAUCCCACAGAGUGGUGUCAUCCAGCUCUCAGGCAGUUUCCCAGAGGUGACUCAUCUGUCAUCUCAACAAGCGCGUGAGGGGCACAAGACGAGGACUGUCACCCCAUUGAGAGACGGGGAGCCAGAGACUCACAGAAGUCCCAAGAACUGCCUGAGCUGACUCAACAGCCGGAAACUAGGACAGUCACAAAGUCAGUCUGACUUCCAAAUUUAAAUGAGAUUCAGGGCUUACUAUGCAUCAUGUUCAGAGAGGGGAGAUGGACAACUGGCCAGUUUUACCUCCCAGAUCAUCUCACUUUCACAAUAACAGGCUUCCCAAAGGAGCAAGCGAAAGCCCAGAGAGGCCAAGUGUCCUCCCUUAGCUCACAGAGCCAGAAAGCCUCAGGGAUUUUCUAACAUGCCUCAACAACCUCCCCAGAGCAUUUCUCCAUCAGGAAAACUAUUUUCAUUAUGGGUAUCCUUAUUUUCCCUGCAGACGCAACAGGAAGCUUCUGGGGCCCCCCAGUGAGCAGAAAGCUGAGAGCUGGGGGCCAGCCAGUGUUUAUUUGUUUAUGCCAUCAUCUCCCACUGAACCCAGUCCCAAGCUACUGAGUGACUCAGAGACCUGACCACCAACAGCUGUUCUUCGGUUGGAGCCAGAUAAGUCAACGGGGGGUGGGGGUGUCCAUUGCACUUCCCAGUAAUCAGGUGGGACACACUCUUUCUGUCCAGUACCCCCACCCCUUGUGGAGUGAUAAAGGGUGACAGACAGAUGAGAGGGAAAGACCCCCAUCCCCAGCAACUGCACUGGAAAUCCAGCUAUCAGCGUGUGGCCACUAUUUUAACAAGGCUACAAGACAGAGAGAGAGGGAAGAAGCCCCCACGCCACCGCCUCACCCCCACCACAGGGAAAUAAUCUGCCUCCUGGGAAGGUGAGAGGGAAGAGAGCCACCAGGGCCACUGGAAUACAGGUUCCAGCCAAGGCCACCCUGAGGCCCAGAGUCUCAGCAAUGGGCCAUGGUUGGCUCCAGUCUAGUGUGGCCCAUCAAUUAUGGUGACUUCACUGCCUCAGUCUGGUCUCCAGCAUGAUAAGCAAAGGCGCUUCCCUGCCUAGCUUGGUCUCCAAAGCCUUUUCCCUGAAGGUUCCCUGAGCCAGAAACAGAAUGUAUCUUGAGGCUUUACCGUCCUCAAAAGCCUGAUCUCUGGGUUCUACUCCACUCAUUUUAACUGAAAACACCACUCAGGUCCAAAGGAUAGUAAUGAAUCUUUCUUUCCUUUCUUUUCUUUCUUUACAUUAUUUUCUUUCUUUACAUUAUUUUAUUUCUUUACAGCCUUUUAUUUCUUUACACUCUUUCUUUCUUCCUUCCUUCGUUUCUUUCUUUCUUUCUUUCUUUUCUUUCUUUUCUCUUCUUUCUUCACGCAGGUACAAAGGACAGAGUAUAUUUCUUCACUCAGGUUCAGAGGACAGAAUAAUGAAUCUUCUUUCUUUCCUUCUUUCUUCCUUCCUUCCUUCUUUCCUUCCUUCCUUCCCUUUUCUUUCUUUCUUUCCUUUCUUCCUUCCUGUCUGUCUUUUUUUCUUUCUUUCUUUCUUUCUUUCUUUCUUUCCUUUCUUCCUUCCUGUCUUUCUUUUCUUUCUUUCUUUCUUUCUUUUCUUUUCUUUUCUUUUCUCUCUUCACGCAGGUACAAAGGACAGGGUAUUUUUCUUCACUCAGGUUCAGAGGACAGAAUAAUGAAUCUUUCUUUCCUUCUUUCUUCCUUCUUCCCCUCCUUCCUUCUUUCCUUCCUUCCUUUUUCUUUCUUUCUUUCCUUUCUUCCUUCCUUCCUGUCUUUCUUUCUUUGUCUGUCUUUCUUUCUUUCUUUCCUUUCUUCCUUCCUUCCUCUCCCUCUCUUCUUUCUUUCUUUCCUUCCUUCUUUCUUUCCUUCUUUCUUUCCUCUUUCUUUCUUUCCUCUUUCUUUCCUUCCUUCCUUCCUUCCUUCCUUUCUUUCUCUCUUUCUCUCUUUCUUUCUUACUUUCUUUCUUCAUUUUUGGAACUGGGCCAUCUUCCAAACUUCUCACAUAGCCCCUUACUCUGCUCUUCCUAUGGACAGCUGAGAAUCAUUUUCUAACUUUAUCAAAUAUGCUCCCUCCUCUUAAGAUAGCCUGCCCUGGCUGCUUCCUAUGUCUCUUGCAGUCUGACCAGGCGCUGUAGGGAAGAGGCCCAAAUGCACCCACCUGGCCCAGAUAUCCAGAGGCCAAGGCCACGGUCCUGCACCACAGCGUGAGAGUUCUUCUUUGCAGUGCCUACAAACCUAUGCUUGCCCCCAAACUCGCUCAGGGGUAACGGGGUUGGGGAAAGAGUGGAAGGUCAAACAGAGACCCUCUUGGAAUCUGUUCCCUUCAUUAACUUUGGAAUUCCACAGGCCAGUGUUUUCUCAAGGCUUGUUACACUGAAUACUCCCCCAGGAGGAGGGGGCUGCAAUCUUCAUACCCACAGGCUCUAGCUGGGAAAGCCAGGAGACAGCUUCAUGGGGUGAGGUCAGCCACCGCCCGCCCAGCCCCCAGGUGGAGGAACUAACAUUUAGAGAGCAAACACUAGAUAGCUAGCAUUAGAGUAACAAAUAGAUUCAGAGGUGUUAUGGUUUGCAGAUGAAGAAAGUGAGGCUCAGAGAGAUUAAAACACUUGAGCACAUUGGGGCCUGUGGGUCGGGGGCGGGGGGGGGGAGGAAAGGCAUCAGGAAAAAUAGCUAAUGCAUGCUGGGCUUAAUAUCUAGGUGAUGGGGUGAUAGAUGCAGCAAAUCACAUGGCACACGUCUACCAUGUAACAAACCUGCACAUCCUGCACAUGUACCCCAGAACUUAAAAUAAAAUAAAUACAUACAUAAUAAAAAUAAAAUAAAAUCCCUUAUACAGAAAAAAAUAAAAAUAAAAACUUGAGCAAGAUCACACAGCAGGUAUAAAACAGCAGAGCUUCAAAACAGAUUUAGUUUUGUUCUAAAAACCACACUCUUCAAAUAAUUGUAGCUAUCAGUCAAAGAGGGCCAAGAUUUCAUGACACAACCACUCUUGAGGCAGGACGCUGAGUGACUGCCCCUGGAGCCCAGGCCUGCUGGACCAAAAGCCCACUCAAGUUAGCAUUGAGGCCUGUGUGUAAUUCAGGGAUGGAACAGUGUGUCCAAUACUGUUCUAAACUGACUUCCCAAAACUGUCACCGAGACCACUCCUUGUCAAUGCAGCACCCCCUGCCAAAAUGCACAUGCCUUUACGUUUUACCAUGUAUGGAUAUCAGAGCCUAGGACAUAGUAAGCCCUCAGUAAAUGUCUGCUGAAUGAACAGUAAGGAAACUAGCCAUGUGAAGGCCAUCUUCUAAGUUUUCUGUAAAAUCCUAAUGAAAGCACUGCGCAUAUACUGCUUAACAAGUCUCACAGAAAUAUUGCAUCUUGUAACAAUUUUUUUUUCAAUGUUUAUGAUCCAGGAGGAGUUUCUGCCUUUGAAAGACAAACAUGUUUCCUUUAUUUAGGCCAAGGACAAACUACAGCCUAAAGGCCUAUUGCCAGUUCUUGUAAAUAAAGUUUUAUUGGCACACAGCCACACCCACUCAUUUACAUAUUAUCUAUGGCUACUUUCCAGAUACAAAGGCAGAACUGACAAGCAGUACAGAGCUGUGUGGCCUGCAAAGCUGAAAACAUUUGUCACCUAACCCUUGAUAUAAAAAGUUUGCCAAUCUUUACUUUAGAUACAAAUAUAACCUACUUAGCAUGUUGUGCUAAUUAGGAAGCUCAGAGCUAAACGUAAUGUUAAAUUUUAGUAACUCACUCAUCUUCAAUAUUUUUUAUACCUUUAUGCCUAUAUGCUUUGACCUUCUAAUCCCAUUUUAAAAUUUUAUUUAAAAAAAACUAGUAUUCCCUGAGUACAUAUUAUAUGCCUGGCACUGAAUGAAACCUUUUAAUAUGUUCUCUUAUUUAAUUCUCAUAAUAAACUCAUGGGGUAGGUAAUAUUAUCUUUUAUUUAUUUAUUUAUUUAUUUGGGAGAUGGAGUCUCAGUUUGUCACGCAGGCUGGAGUGCAGUGGUGCAAUCUCGGCUCACUGCAACCUCCGCCUCCCAGAUUCAAAUGAUUCUCCUGCCUCAGCCUCCUGAGUAGCUGGGAUUACAGGCGCAUGCCACCACACCCAGCUAAUUUUUCUAUUUUUAGUAGUGAUGGGGUUUCGCUAUGUUGGUUAGGCUGGUCUUGAACUCCUGACCUCAGGUGAUCUGCCCACCUCGGCCUCCCAAAGUGCUGGGAUUACAUGUGUGAGCCACUGUGCUCAGCCCUUAUCUUCAAUUUAUUGAGACUAAAUGAAUGAAAUGAAUACAUGAAUAAGUCACCAAUUGAUUGCAUAGUGGAAAUAUUUACUAUUUCAUAAUUCAAUCCCAGAGAAUAAUUAACUCAGGAAUUGACUGAAAAACUUUGGGUGCUCAAUGAACAUAACAGGCAGGGCUGAGAUAGUAACUGCAGGCAAUUUGAGCCAAAUUAUAGGAUUGUAAAGUGCUAUCGUUCUGGGAUCCUUAUUGUUUUCAAUCUAGCUUCAGACCAAGCCGGCCAGUCACUUCAUCAUGAAUCUUCAGGAUUUGGGGAGAAUCAGCAGACAUGACACAGAGCUACUACUCAAGUCACAGGCUCAGACACUGCCUCCAGUGGCGUGGCCAGAGCCACACAGCCAGAGUACCGCAAAUAGAAACAAUUACCGGUGCCCCAAUGUAGUCCUCUUCAGGAGGACUAGGUCCACAUGUCACUAAUAGUAUUUUUGAAAAGUUGACCUUUUCUUAAGUACCAACAUCCUAAGCAGUAUCAUCUGCAAAACCACAGGUCGCACAUACCAAUUGUUGCCUUUUUCUAAUUUGAGUUAAACACAAAACAAUUUUUUUAUUCUUAUCUAUAACAUGAAAUCAUCUUGCAUUGCUCAUCAGCACGCUUUGGAAAACACUGGCUGGACAGGAGUAGGGGUGUCAAGGCUGACAGAUGGGACUGCAAACACCAGCUUCUCUGCUCUCUCCAUCAGUAACCGUGGCAGCUUUCUGGAUCUCACUGAACCUCAGUUUGUUCAUAUGCAUAAGGAGGAGACACAUUCUCCUUGCCAGAUUAGAAGGUGAACUGGCACAUUCCAGGUAUUCAUACACACCAGCUGUUAAGCAACCUUGGGCUGUUCACCGAAGAACCCCUGGAGAUGAUCAAGUCACAGCCUUUCCCUCAUUGCCACCCUGGGUAGACCAUCAGAGGCUCCAGGCACCCCGUGGGGAACAGGUCCAAGAUGCCAGGCCAUCUCCAGGAACCUGGCCAGGAUGUCAGUGUAGGUGGCAGGGCAGCCCGUACGACUAGAGAGUGUGCUGUCAAUAAUUCCAGGAGCCCAUCAAGUGAAAACAACACAGGUUGGGACUGCUGUAGCGGCAGUCAGGGAUAACAGGGCUCUUCUAAGUGGCUGAAAGCAGGCUUGUGACAUGAAAUCAGAACAGCAAGCUCCUGCACCACGAGUAGAAAUGCAAACUGUUCAGGCAAAAGUCCAGGGAAAACUGGGAGAGCCAGCCUUGUAUGCAUGAUGCACCAGCAGCACCAGCACCCACCAUCUAACUGAUGAGUGUGCGAGCCACUAGGCCUGGCUUGCCCAGCUACAUCCUCGUAUACACCUGUCAUCCCAGAGUAAGUGAUACAGUGCCCCUUUCACUCUCAAGUCUCCAGGCUGAGAAGAGAAAUUAGCCAGCUUCUCUAUGAAUGAAUGUACUAAGGCCCAAAAAGCAGAGGUAGUUUGCCCAAGGUCACAGUCACCAGUGGCCAAGAAGGGAGAAUGUGCAUCUCUCAGCUCCAGGCAAUGUUGUGCAGUGGCUUUGGAGUCAGACAGGGCUGUCCAAAUGCUG
Molecule: long non-coding RNA, 6395 nt
Filed under: Homo sapiens (human)
Lineage: Eukaryota; Metazoa; Chordata; Mammalia; Primates; Hominidae
Description: HSALNT0350117
Source: RNAcentral